UAGAAUAUUCUAGAACAGGUCUGAAUAGUGUGGGUGUUGUAGUUUUUGAGGUAGAGGAGAUUAAAUAAGGUCAGAGUAGAGAAAAAUUGUGUGUAACGGCCCUUUAGCCGUUUCCCGAAUCGGAGGUUAACUUCAGCCUCAUUUAGUCGCGCUGCUCUUUAGCUGAUGUGGGAUUUCUUUACUGGAUGCUAACAUCACAUCACACUCACGGAGUAACACACACAGGCGCUCUGCUGCUACAGUCAGUGGAAGGUUAUCAUCUGGUGUAAAAAGUAGUGAUGCACCGAUGGAUCGGCAUUUGAUCGUAAUCGGCCGAUAGCGCCCCUAUCGGUUUUGAUCGGAAUUUUCAAAAUAGAUCAAAGCAAACCGAUCAGGUAGGGUUGUCACGGUAACCAGUGUAGCGGUAAACCCCGGUAAAAAAAAAGUUGACAAUAAUAAUAACCAUCUUGUUUUAAAAAAACUAUAUUAUCUUGGUGGGUUUACCGUGGCUGCGGUGUAGGCGCGGUGACCCUUACCAGCCACCGUAUCAUCGGCUGAAGUUGCCGGCGGCACGUGCACGCUUUGAUGUUUACAACAAAACUUUCUUGAAGCUAAAGCUGAAAUAAUGGUCAAAGGAGACGGCAGCGCUCAGGAGGACAUUUAUUAUCCCUCAAAGAAGACAAAGUCGGAAGUACGGGCAUCUUUUAGAUAUUUGAAGAAUGCCGAGGGAGUUUAUAGAAGACGGACGGCUAUCCUGUUUGCAGCGCGAGCAGAAAAAGUGUCUGUGAAAGGCAGCAACGCUUCAAAUCUCAUGACUAGGGUUGCCAACCGUCCCUUGAAAAACAGAACCGUCCCGUAUUUAGAAACACAAGUGCACGUCCCGUAUUGAACUCAAAAGGGACGCACUUUGUCCCGUAAUAUAGUAUGGAUCAAAAUUAGUCUGUAGUCUAUUACCGGAAUUAACGCUUUGUUUGAAAGCCAGCCCUUCGCCUGCUCUGUGACCAAUGAACUGACCGCAUGCUUAUACACGAAUAUGACGAUACAGAUUACCGCUUAUUUCAUUGGUCGAGGAACGGUCGCUUGGGGAGAAGAUACCGGAAGAAAACAGACGACAGCAAACAGCACGGCCAACAGGGAAACUAACGCCGACACUGCUGUACAAGUCUCGGGCGACAGUAUCCCUCCGAGAAAGAAGAAAAAAGGCUUCAAAAAUAUAGGGAGGAAUGGGAAAAGGAAAAUUCCUGGCUGGAAAAACUGCGCGAUAACACCUAUAAAGCGCACUGCACCGUGUACCGGCGCAGUUUUUCCAAAGGGCAUGGUGGGCUGACUGACCUCAAGCAACAUGCGUCUAGUAGUAGCCGCAUGAAAAACAUAAAGGACGUGAAAGCACGGGGAACCCUCGAUCCGUUUGUCGUCCAGAAGGCCACGGCAGAAGCAGAUAUGGUUAAACAUCUCUAUGGAUGAGCUUUAUGACGAGUGUGUCACUGCAACCAGCCUUCUGGAGCCCCUCACCAAAGGACCUCAGGAGAAGGAAAAGUGGCAGUCCAAGGGAACAGCAGAGAAGUGUAUAGAAAUUCUUCAGGCAGCUGACCUCUCCAACAUCCAGCCUGUUGUAUCGUUUGUACUCAGCAUCCCAUCUUCCACUGGGUUUGCAGAGAGGAUUUUCUCUCUCAUGAAGAAUAAGUGGACUGAUGUGCGGAACAAAUGUUCUACUGAAAUAAUUAGAUGUGAGCUCAUUGUCACUCUAAAUUGUGACAUGUUUUGCUCAGAGUUUUACUCUGCAGUACUGAAAGACAACUCCUAAAUGAAGCAAGAUCUCAAAAGAAAUACAAAUGGAGAAAAUAGUCUGUUUUCACAUAAUGUAGCAUUGAGCUUUUGAGUUCAUGAGUUUGGACUUUUUUUUUUACUUCAACCGUAGGCUACAGUCAAGGCCUUUGAGGCACAAAUAUGUUUACAGCUUCUCCACAGACUUUCUGUUUGCACUUUUCUAAUUGCACUAAAUGUGCACUUACAGCGUUGCUCUUUCUGUUGUUUUCUAUUAAUUUAUACAAUUUUAAGUUAAGCAGAACAGAGUUGUUUUAAAGAGAGCUAUUUAUAUUCUAAAAAGUAAAG
Non-coding RNA from Nothobranchius furzeri (turquoise killifish), 2091 nucleotides. NCBI's taxonomy places the organism in Eukaryota, Metazoa, Chordata, Actinopteri, Cyprinodontiformes, Nothobranchiidae. The record is from RefSeq and is a predicted model, not a curated record.